Molecule: ribosomal RNA, 497 nt
Filed under: uncultured bacterium
Lineage: Bacteria
Description: partial 16S ribosomal RNA
Rfam family: Bacterial small subunit ribosomal RNA (bases 59-497)
Source: RNAcentral
GGGGGGGGGGGGGGGGGGGGGGGGGGGGGGGGGGGGGGGGGGGGGGGGGGGGGGCUGGGUGGUGUGGGGUUGGGGGGGGGCGGGUGGGUGGCAGGGGGAUAGCCUACCUGUAAGACUGGGAUGACUUCGGGGAGCCGGGGCUAGUCCCGGAUCAUGUAUUGAACCGCGUGGUUCAGUAGUGAAAGACGGUUUUGCUGUCACUUGUAGCUGGAUCCGCGCCGCAUUAGCUAGUUGGUAAGGUAAAGGCUUACCAAGGCAACGAUGCGUAGCCGACCUGAGAGGGUGAUCGGCCACACUGGAACUGAGACACGGUCCAGACUCCUACGGGAGGCAGCAGUAGGGAAUCUUCCGCAAUGGGCGAAAGCUUGACGGAGCAACGCCGCGUGAGUGAUGAAGGUCUUCGGAUCGUAAAACUCUGUUAUUAGGGAAGAACAAAUGUGUAAGUAACUAUGCACGUCUUGACGGUACCUAAUCAGAAAGCCACGGCUAACUACGUG